RNAcentral lists this ribosomal RNA (256 nucleotides) under uncultured bacterium. RNAcentral's name for it is "partial 16S ribosomal RNA". It matches the Rfam family "Bacterial small subunit ribosomal RNA", at positions 793 to 1055 of the family's 1533-position model. The record is from RNAcentral.
GUCCACGCCGUAAACGAUGGAUACUAGCUGUCCGGCGCAAGCUGGGUGGCUAAGCGAAAGUGAUAAGUAUCCCACCUGGGGAGUACGAACGCAAGUUUGAAACUCAAAGGAAUUGACGGGGCCCGCACAAGCGGUGGAGCAUGUGGUUUAAUUCGAUGAUACGCGAGGAACCUUACCAGGGCUUAAAUGUAGGCCGACAGGCCCCGGAAACGGGCUUUUUCUUCGGACGGCUUACAAGGUGCUGCAUGGUUGUCGU